Molecule: ribosomal RNA, 253 nt
Filed under: uncultured bacterium
Lineage: Bacteria
Description: partial 16S ribosomal RNA
Rfam family: Bacterial small subunit ribosomal RNA
Source: RNAcentral
GACAGAGGCCUCACGCGUUAGGCGGAAUCACUGGGCUUAAAGCGUGUGUAGGCGGACGCCUAAGUGUCUUGUGAAAUCCCCCGGCUCACCCGGGGAACUGCUGGGCAUACUGGGCGUCUUGGGCCAACUAGGGGCAACUGGAACAAGCGGUGGAGCGGUGAAAUGCGUAGAUAUCGCUUGGAACGCCGAAGGUGAAAACAGGUUGCUGGGGUUGUGCCGACGCUGAGACACGAAAGCCAGGGGAGCAAACGGG